AUGCUCGUUUGGCAGCAUGUAUACUAAAAUUGGAAUGAUACAGAGAAGAUUAGCAUGCUCUUUGCACAAGGAUGACUUGCAAAUUCGUGAAAUGUUCUGUAUUUUU
Molecule: small nuclear RNA, 106 nt
Organism: Diceros bicornis minor
Lineage: Eukaryota; Metazoa; Chordata; Mammalia; Perissodactyla; Rhinocerotidae
Source: RefSeq, a predicted model, not a curated record